Molecule: ribosomal RNA, 491 nt
Filed under: uncultured bacterium
Lineage: Bacteria
Description: partial 16S ribosomal RNA
Rfam family: Bacterial small subunit ribosomal RNA
Source: RNAcentral
AGUGAACGCUGGCGGUAGGCCUAACACAUGCAAGUCGAACGGCAGCACAGUAAGAGCUUGCUCUUACGGGUGGCGAGUGGCGGACGGGUGAGGAAUACAUCGGAAUCUACUUUUUCGUGGGGGAUAACGUAGGGAAACUUACGCUAAUACCGCAUACGACCUACGGGUGAAAGCAGGGGAUCUUCGGACCUUGCGCGAUUGAAUGAGCCGAUGUCGGAUUAGCUAGUUGGCGGGGUAAAGGCCCACCAAGGCGACGAUCCGUAGCUGGUCUGAGAGGAUGAUCAGCCAAACUGGAACUGAGACACGGUCCAGACCCCUACGGGAGGCAGCGGUGGGGAAUAUUGGAAAAUGGGCGCAAGCCUGAUCCAGCCAUACCGGGGGGGUGAAGAAGGCCUGCGGGUGGUAAAGCCUUUUUGUUGGGAAAAAAAAGCAGCAGGUUAAUACCCCGUGGUUCUGACGGUCCCAAAAAAAAAAGCACCGGCAAACUUCGU